This is a long non-coding RNA of Aquila chrysaetos chrysaetos, 213 nucleotides long. RefSeq lists it as uncharacterized. The transcript has 3 exons. NCBI's taxonomy places the organism in Eukaryota, Metazoa, Chordata, Aves, Accipitriformes, Accipitridae. The record is from RefSeq and is a predicted model, not a curated record.
CUCCUGCAGACAACAAGUCCUUAACAGCUGAAACCCUCCCACUCUGUAACUCCUGCUGGCAGCUGCCCUACCCCAGGAGUCAGCUGUGGGCGUGCCAAGGACCCACAGCCCAGAUCUGACAGGGCCCAGCUGUGCUACCAUGACUCAAGACUGCUGGGAGGAAGCUGUGAGAAAGUCCACAGAGAGAUGAGAGAGGUACAAAUCGUAAGGAGA